Molecule: long non-coding RNA, 581 nt
Organism: Cyprinus carpio (common carp)
Lineage: Eukaryota; Metazoa; Chordata; Actinopteri; Cypriniformes; Cyprinidae
Exons: 2
Source: RefSeq, a predicted model, not a curated record
CUUUCAUGUUCAGAGGGUUUCAUGUUACUGUCCAUUUCUGUUUUCUGGACAUCAGCUUCAACUGGGCUGGAAAGCUUUUUCAGAAGUUCUUCAACUUCUAAACGCUCCUGUGGACACAACACAAUACAAUAAGGCUCACUGAUUUUGACAUCAGCCCCUCCCUCUCCAACUGGACCUUGGACUUUCUCUCUAACAGUCCAAACUCAUUUUAAACACUGGUGUUCCACAGGGCUAUAUGCUAAGCCCAAUCCUGUACUCCCUCUUCAUCUAUGACUGCACCUGUACAUGGCUCUAACUCUAUAAUCAAGUUUGCAGAUGACACCACGGUGAUAGGCCUUAUAAGUGGUGAUGACGAGAUGGCCUACAGGGAAGAGUUUUAGCCCCUGUAGGGUGGUGUGCCAACAACAAUCUGGCACUCAACACACAGAAGACCACAGAGUUGAUUAUGGACCACCGGCAGUCUAGGAAAGAUGACACACCUUUUCAUCUACAUUGAUGGAGCCAAAGUGGAACAUGUGACUAGCUUUAAGUUCCUUGGUGUCCAUAUCUCUGAAGAUUAUUCCUGGACACCUCCACUCUCA